Molecule: ribosomal RNA, 1727 nt
Filed under: Candidatus Poseidoniaceae archaeon
Lineage: Archaea; Methanobacteriati; Thermoplasmatota; Candidatus Poseidoniia; Candidatus Poseidoniales; Candidatus Poseidoniaceae
Description: partial 23S ribosomal RNA
Rfam family: Archaeal large subunit ribosomal RNA
Source: RNAcentral
CAUGUUGAUGCUACAACCCAUCUGGGGAAUGGCUUGGCUCGAGUGCCGAUGAAGGUCGUGACAAGCUGCGAUAAGCUACGGGGAGACGCAUGAAUGUCUGCGAUCCGUAGAUUGCCUAAUAGGACCUCCUGACUCUAGCAGUCAAUCGCAUUAGCGAUGGGGAACCCCCUGAAUUGAAGCAUCUUAGUAGGGGGAGGAAAAGAAAUCAAAAGAGAUUCCGUGAGUAGUGGCGAACGAAAACGGAACAGAGCAAACCGAAUCCGGAAUGGAAACUGAAGGAAAUGUGGUGUGUUCGUCUGUAGCCUAAGUUCGGGAAGGAGAAGUCGCCUGGAAUGGCGCAGCCAGAGAGGGUGAAAGUCCCGUAUCCGAAUCGAAUAUGGCCAAGUGACGUAACAAGAGUAGCGUGCGUUGGAUAUCGCGCGUGAAUGUGGGACGCAGAAAGUUCCAACUCUAAAUACAACUCGAGACCGAUAGUUUACAAGUAACGUGAGUGAAAGCUGAAAAGUAUCCUUAGCGGGAUGUGAAAAGAACCUGAAACCAGAUGGGUACAGGCUGAUAAGGCGUGAAAGCGAAGAUAUGAGCAGCGUCUUAUCGUGCGUUUAGAAAAAUGCCCCUGGGAGUCUUGAUCAUUGGCGAGGUUAAGUGGUUGAACCACGAAGCCGAAGGGAAACCGACAAGUCCGCAGCCGCAUUAGCGGUGAGGGACGGGAUGUGCUCGUCCGAAGUCAAUGGUGGAGAACCUGAAGCCCACCGAUCUAUGCCUGGCCAGAUUGAAGCCCGGUGAAAACUGGGUGGAGGAUCGAACCGUUGCUGAUCUGCAAAUCGCUCGGAUGAGCUGGGUAUAGGGGUGAAAGUCCAAUCGAGGUGGGCAAUAGCAGGUUCCGCGCGAAACUACUCGUAGGUAGACGUCCGUGGAGGUGGAAGGCGUUGUAGAGCACUGAUUGUGUGUUUAGGGGGAGCGAUCCCUCGGCAUGCUGCCAAACUCCGAAUAUGCCUUCGCCGUAGAAACGGGCAGUGAGUGAUGGUGGGUAAGCUACCAUUACGCAAGGUGAACAAACCAGCCUAACGUUAAGGUCCCAAAAUUGCGAUCAAGUGUCACAGAUAAACCGAGUCCGUGGUCGAAAACAACCAGAAGGUGGGCUUAGAAGCAGCCAUCCUUGAAAGAGUUCGUAACAGAUCACUGGUCUAGCUUGCGGGCCGGGAAAAGGGACGGGGCUCAAAUCGCAUACCGAUACGUUAGUCCAUCGAAAGAUGAUGAGGUAGCGCGGCGACGUGUAUGGGCGGAAGCAAGGCUUUGAGGUCUUGUGGACCGUAUACGUACGAGAAUCUAGGGAAGAGUAGCAGCACAGAGUGGUGAGAAUCCGCUCCGCCGAAGGGGCCAGGGUUCCUCGGCACUGUUUAUCAGCCGAGGGUUAGCCGGUCCUAAGUUCGUUCUUAACCGAAACGAUCGAAAGGGAAUUGCGUUAAUAUUCGUAAGCCCUCCUACAAUAAUGGUGACAGCUUGGGCUAGUUUACCGCGUCAUAUGUCAGGCGCGCGAAGCGUCUAUAAUUCACAGGAGAACCGUUACGGUGAGAAAGUGAAGAAGUCGUGAGUGAAACAGUAGAUGAGGCCCGGGUUCCAUGAAAAGCCGUAGGAGUGACCGUACCGAGAACUGAAACAGGUGCCCCUAGGUGAGCAGCCUAAGGUGUAUCGGGUACAAAUAUCGCGAGGGAACUCGGCAAAAUAGC